RNAcentral lists this ribosomal RNA (253 nucleotides) under uncultured bacterium. RNAcentral describes it as "partial 16S ribosomal RNA". It matches the Rfam family "Bacterial small subunit ribosomal RNA", at positions 524 to 776 of the family's 1533-position model. The record is from RNAcentral.
UACGUAGGUGGCGAGCGUUGUCCGGAUUUACUGGGCGUAAAGGGAGCGUAGGCGGACUUUUAAGUGAGAUGUGAAAUACUCGGGCUCAACUUGAGUGCUGCAUUUCAAACUGGAAGUCUAGAGUGCAGGAGAGGAGAAUGGAAUUCCUAGUGUAGCGGUGAAAUGCGUAGAGAUUAGGAAGAACACCAGUUGCGAAGGCGGCUCUCUGGACUGUAACUGACACUGAGGCACGAAAGCGUGGGGAGCAAACAGG